Molecule: transfer RNA, 68 nt
Filed under: Rhizobium bangladeshense
Lineage: Bacteria; Pseudomonadati; Pseudomonadota; Alphaproteobacteria; Hyphomicrobiales; Rhizobiaceae
Also listed under: 1 other name
Description: tRNA-Arg
Source: RNAcentral
GUACAGCAGCGAGUCGGAGCAGAUUCCUAAUCUGGGGGUCGCGCGUUCGAAUCGCGCCGGGAUCACCA